Molecule: ribosomal RNA, 507 nt
Organism: Laccaria bicolor S238N-H82
Lineage: Eukaryota; Fungi; Basidiomycota; Agaricomycetes; Agaricales; Hydnangiaceae
Rfam family: Eukaryotic small subunit ribosomal RNA
Source: Rfam
AAAGUUGUUGCAGUUAAAAAGCUCGUAGUUGAACUUCAGAUCUGGCUGGGCGGUCCGCUUAACGGCGAGUACUGUCUGGCUGAGUCUUACCUCUUGGUGAGCCGGCGUGCCCUUUAUUGGUGUGCGUUGGGGAACCAGGACUUUUACCUUGAGAAAAUUAGAGUGUUCAAAGCAGGCAUUUGCCCGAAUACAUUAGCAUGGAAUAAUAAAAUAGGACGUGCGGUUCUAUUUUGUUGGUUUCUAGAGUCGCCGUAAUGAUUAAUAGGGAUAGUUGGGGGCAUUGGUAUUGAGUCGCUAGAGGUGAAAUUCUUGGAUUGACUCAAGACCGACUAUUGCGAAAGCAUUUGCCAAGGAUGUUUUCAUUAAUCAAGAACGAAGGUUAGGGGAUCGAAAACGAUCAGAUACCGUUGUAGUCUUAACAGUAAACUAUGCCGACUAGGGAUCGGGCGACCUCAAUUAUGAUGUGUCGCUCGGCACCUUACGAGAAAUCAAAGUCUUUGGGUUCUG